GCAAAUCUGACAAUAUUUGGCAAACCUAUCAUUCCAAUCAAGACACAACUGGGACCUAAAAAUCUGCCUGCAGAACAGGAAACUAAAGCACCACAUAUAUGGAAGCUCAGAAGCAUUUCCUGUGGACAAUUGCUGGACCAGACUCCUCGUACUCACCCUUUGAAAUCCACAUCUGCAUAUUUAAGUGUGACAAGGUCAUGCAUCACGUAUAUCUGCAAAAAACUGAUAUCAUGGAACCAGGACUAGGAUAUACCUGUUGGAAAGUACUAAGUGAGGCAAGGAUGGAUCCUCCGAUCCAGACACUGUACUUGCGUUCAGGUGGGGCAACCACCUUAAUCUUCAUGCUGCUUGGGGC
Molecule: long non-coding RNA, 355 nt
Filed under: Musa acuminata (dwarf banana)
Lineage: Eukaryota; Viridiplantae; Streptophyta; Magnoliopsida; Zingiberales; Musaceae
Description: long non-coding RNA (MACU_LNC005784)
Source: RNAcentral